This 666-nucleotide ribosomal RNA is filed under the name Enterococcus sp. FBPers-11_16-02. Its description in RNAcentral is "bacterial SSU rRNA". It matches the Rfam family "Bacterial small subunit ribosomal RNA", at positions 74 to 719 of the family's 1533-position model. Lineage: Bacteria; Bacillati; Bacillota; Bacilli; Lactobacillales; Enterococcaceae. RNAcentral also lists the same sequence under 1 other name. The record is from RNAcentral.
CGGAGCUUGCUCCACCGGAAAAAGAGGAGUGGCGAACGGGUGAGUAACACGUGGGUAACCUGCCCAUCAGAAGGGGAUAACACUUGGAAACAGGUGCUAAUACCGUAUAACAAUCGAAACCGCAUGGUUUUGAUUUGAAAGGCGCUUUCGGGUGUCGCUGAUGGAUGGACCCGCGGUGCAUUAGCUAGUUGGUGAGGUAACGGCUCACCAAGGCGACGAUGCAUAGCCGACCUGAGAGGGUGAUCGGCCACAUUGGGACUGAGACACGGCCCAAACUCCUACGGGAGGCAGCAGUAGGGAAUCUUCGGCAAUGGACGAAAGUCUGACCGAGCAACGCCGCGUGAGUGAAGAAGGUUUUCGGAUCGUAAAACUCUGUUGUUAGAGAAGAACAAGGAUGAGAGUAACUGUUCAUCCCUUGACGGUAUCUAACCAGAAAGCCACGGCUAACUACGUGCCAGCAGCCGCGGUAAUACGUAGGUGGCAAGCGUUGUCCGGAUUUAUUGGGCGUAAAGCGAGCGCAGGCGGUUUCUUAAGUCUGAUGUGAAAGCCCCCGGCUCAACCGGGGAGGGUCAUUGGAAACUGGGAGACUUGAGUGCAGAAGAGGAGAGUGGAAUUCCAUGUGUAGCGGUGAAAUGCGUAGAUAUAUGGAGGAACACCAGUGGCGAA